RNAcentral lists this transfer RNA (73 nucleotides) under SAR202 cluster bacterium. RNAcentral's name for it is "tRNA-Glu". It matches the Rfam family "tRNA". Rfam says of the family: Transfer RNA (tRNA) molecules are approximately 80 nucleotides in length. Lineage: Bacteria; Bacillati; Chloroflexota; Dehalococcoidia. The record is from RNAcentral.
GCCCCAUUCGUCUAGUGGACUAGGACAUCGGCUUUUCACGCCGAAAACAGGAGUUCAAUUCUCCUAUGGGGUA